Oncorhynchus tshawytscha (Chinook salmon) is the source of this 557-nucleotide long non-coding RNA. The record is from Ensembl. NCBI's taxonomy places the organism in Eukaryota, Metazoa, Chordata, Actinopteri, Salmoniformes, Salmonidae.
CACGACCCCACACACCAGUGUGCUGGGUUGACUUUUGACUCCAGGAUGAUCCCCCCGUCAUGCCACAGACCGAUUACGCCCCUGCGUCUCCCAAGCUGGAGUUUAAGUCCGCUCCCCACACUCCAGGAACUGAGAGAUGGCAAACAAUCACCAGUGUGAGGAGGAAACAAUUAUUUGUAGUGUUAUUCUACCACAAUACUUAUAAAUGUGUAGAUGCUGGGUAAAGACUUAGAUAAUAGAAGGAUUCAUGAGUUUGUGGUGUGUCAUUGUGUCUCAUUGUGACAAGGUAAAACUAAAACAUAGACAGCAAAAUAUAAUUAAAGAGGAAGUUAAUUAAGGUUGGGUUUUUAAUUCUUUAAUGAUCUCAAUCUUUACGUUGCUUUUCAUCCCUAGCCCACGCCUGUAUAUUCCUCCCCCCACCAUAUUUCAAGUGGACAAAAAGCUUUAGGAAAGAAUCUCAGUCUCGCUCUAGAUGGUCCACACCAGAUCCCACAAAAAAAAGAUCCACAGAUGAUGCAAUCUCUAUUGCACUUCACGCUGCCCUUUCGCACCUGGAC